Molecule: small nucleolar RNA, 109 nt
Organism: Rhododendron vialii
Lineage: Eukaryota; Viridiplantae; Streptophyta; Magnoliopsida; Ericales; Ericaceae
Product: small nucleolar RNA snoR100
Exons: 1
Source: RefSeq, a predicted model, not a curated record
CAAUGAAGGAAGCAUGGUAAUGUGCACAGAAAUUGAAUUAGGUCUCUAGGCCAGGCCCUCUCUGACGCCAUUUGGCUUUGAUUUGGGGGCAUGGUUCCACAGCAAAACA